CGUCCAAAUUUUACUAAGAAACUUUUAGCCCUAAAAUUCUAAACCAUCUGUAAUUCUGUAUACAUAGACAGACAGAGAGCUCAAUUUCUUUUUUGCUGAAUCAAAAUGUUGUUGUACAUAAUCUCUUCAUUUACAUUAUCUUUCUCAUUUCCAUCAUUUUCUUCUCAAAGUUCCCCUAACCCUAACAUUUUCAUCUUCGUUUUUCAAAUUCGCCAAAAAAACUCAAGUAAAUUAGGCUUUAAACGAUACACGUGCUAUGAGAUCUGGAUGAUCCGACGCAUAUUGAUGUGGUUCAAGCGCAUUUUGAAUUUCAGGCCAACGCGGAUUGGCGGUCAUUGUUAAGAAGAUAUCUGGAUGAUGAUUAAACCGGGUAAUGGCCAUUGAAUCUUGAUAAAUCUCAUACAUAUGCCUAGGACCACCGAUAAAAGUCGAUGGUAAUACAUAUGGCUUACCCAAGUCUUCGGGAGUUAGCCCGGAUUCCGCCGAGGGCUUUAUAUGUUCAUACGAAUCUGCUCGCAGCUUAUCCUGGUUUAUCUUAAGAUAAUACAGACGGUUCUGUUCUGUUGAUGCCCAAGCGUCCACCAGGAUCCAGAUGUUUCAUAUCAGGAUGCCAACCCAUCUCGCCGUAUGGAAACAGUAAAACAUAAUGCAGGGGCAAGUAUGCAGGGUGACACUCUGAAAUACGUUUGAAUCCAUUUCUCCCCUUGCGGUGAAGUAUUAUAUCUCUGAAGUCAGGCUUCUGAGAACCAUCUCCGGGUAAUAUUACAGAGAUUUCAUCGGCCGUUGGUAGGUUAUAACGCCUUUCAUCUGUAGAUUCCUCAUAGUGCAUGAUGACUUUGAAACUAUUGUCUGUGGAGUCAGCAUUGCUCAGAAGUUCUCGUGCCUGGUAAUAUUUAUCGCAAAAAACAUUAUGUUCUGAGAUAAUUUUCUGGACCUUUUUAAGAACUUCUUUAUCCAGCUUGGGAUUCCGUGUUGCAAGAACAACCAAUGCCUGAUCUGGGUCAUAGAAAUACAACUGAUGAUAGAUUGGGUCUUUACCCUCGUCUGGUAGUAAAGUUCCGGAAUUAUGUCGAAGUUCACCAUGAAUUGCAAAGCCUUUUGGGCCCUUCCCCUUCAGGACCCUCCUAUCCAGUUUACAACCGAGACUGGUAUAGGCGUUUGAAGCGUUGUACUCCCGCAUGUGAUCUCUGUAAAACCUCGAUUCGGCAUCGUCUCCUUCAAGUAAAUCCAUUAGUUCUUUUGGAGGCUCCAGCAGCGCAGGGAGUAUUACUUUUCCUUUGCGACAACAUCUUGAAAAUUUUGGAUUCUUCUUGGAUGAGUCGGUUGUCCACUCAUCAAUCCAAUGCAGUGCUCCACAUGAAGAACAUUCUAUAUCCAUUUCACCAAGGUGAUCUAUUAGCUGCUGAGAAAACCGAAUAACAUUCAACUCUUUAAGGUAGAGUUGCUUGAUUACAACAUCCUAUGUGCUGCCAUUGUAGAAUGCAGUGGAGUUUUCCACGUUGCCAGUCCAGUUCCUGCCUAUCGCAUAGCCAAUCAUGAGGUUAAGAUCGUCGUGCUCUUGGGAACCUACUUACUGGGCAACGCUUUGAUUCUGAAUAAAAGACCAUCAAACAAAUUGGCUUGUGAGAAGAAAAUUCUGAUGCUGAUGUAAAUUUAAGUUAGGGUUUAUAAAUUAAAGUUAGGGGGUUUACCGAGUAUGCGUCUCUCUGUUGUUCCUGCCUUUUUUUCUCCCAUCGUUUCAGCUGGCCCAAGGACCUUUUAUUACAAAGGUCAACAUCAACGGCAUUUAUAUGUUGUUCUGCAUCUGUAUGUUGUUCUGGAUUCUGGCUACUCUGAAUAAGUUGUUCCUGUUUUUUUUUCCC
This is a long non-coding RNA of Papaver somniferum (opium poppy), 1862 nucleotides long. RefSeq lists it as uncharacterized. NCBI's taxonomy places the organism in Eukaryota, Viridiplantae, Streptophyta, Magnoliopsida, Ranunculales, Papaveraceae. The transcript has 4 exons. The record is from RefSeq and is a predicted model, not a curated record.